GGGCUCAUGGCCUAAUGGUAAGGCGCCAGAUUUCGGUUGACUGAAAUCAUAUGCUAUUCUCUGGAGAUUGCAGGUUCGAUCCCUGCUGGGCUCG
Molecule: non-coding RNA, 94 nt
Organism: Jackrogersella minutella
Lineage: Eukaryota; Fungi; Ascomycota; Sordariomycetes; Xylariales; Hypoxylaceae
Source: the annotation of a GenBank genome assembly